RNAcentral lists this ribosomal RNA (550 nucleotides) under uncultured Glomeromycotina. RNAcentral describes it as "SSU rRNA". It matches the Rfam family "Eukaryotic small subunit ribosomal RNA", at positions 548 to 1098 of the family's 1831-position model. Lineage: Eukaryota; Fungi; Glomeromycota. The record is from RNAcentral.
UUGGAGGGCAAGUCUGGUGCCAGCAGCCGCGGUAAUUCCAGCUCCAAUAGCGUAUAUUGAAGUUGUUGCAGUUAAAAAGCUCGUAGUUGAAUUUCGGGGUUUAUCCGUUGGUCGGGCUUUUGGGUCUGUACUGGCGUGAUGGAUUCCUACCUUCUGAAUAACCAUCAUGUCAUUAAUUUGGUGCGUUGGGGAAGCAGGACUGUUACCUUGAAAAAAUUAGAGUGCUUAAAGCAGGCUAUUGCCUGAAUACAUUAGCAUGGAAUAAUGAAAUAGGACACAUGGUUCUAUUUUGUUGGUUUCUAGGAUCACCGUAAUGAUUAAUAGGGAUAGUUGGGGGCAUUAGUAUUCAAUUGUCAGAGGUGAAAUUCUUGGAUUUAUUGAAGACUAACUUCUGCGAAAGCAUUUGCCAAGGAUGUUUUCAUUAAUCAAGAACGAAAGUUAGGGGAUCGAAGACGAUCAGAUACCGUCGUAGUCUGAACCAUAAACUAUGCCGACUAGGGAUCGGACGAUGUUAAUUUUUUAAUGACUCGUUCGGCGCCUUACGGGAAAC